RNAcentral lists this transfer-messenger RNA (378 nucleotides) under Methylomarinum roseum. It matches the Rfam family "transfer-messenger RNA". Rfam says of the family: Bacterial tmRNA, also known as 10Sa RNA or SsrA, is named for its dual tRNA and mRNA-like properties. Its role is to liberate the mRNA from a stalled ribosome. Lineage: Bacteria; Pseudomonadati; Pseudomonadota; Gammaproteobacteria; Methylococcales; Methylococcaceae. The record is from RNAcentral.
GGGGGCGACCUGGCUUCGACGUGGGUAGCAAAACCUCGAGUGCAUGCCGAGGACAGUACAUCUCGUAAAAUAUACUGAUAUUUAAAGUAUUCGCAAACGACGAAAACUACUCAGUGGCUUUAGCAGCUUAAAACCUGCACCACUCCUCUGACUACAUGUGCUUAUGCGUGUAGGUUCUUCGGAACAUUCAGGGGUCAUCUGACAUAAGAUCGCGCCAAGGCUUUGUUCGGAGCCAACAGCGUUAAAACCAAUCGAAAUCGCCGCUGAUCUUCCUGGCCCGUCGGGUAGUCAACGGUUAAAUUAAAAGUGCGGGAUAAGCAUGUAGACCUUGUGGCGGAGUACUUGCGGACGCGGGUUCAAUUCCCGCCGCCUCCACCA